Molecule: ribosomal RNA, 253 nt
Filed under: uncultured bacterium
Lineage: Bacteria
Description: partial 16S ribosomal RNA
Rfam family: Bacterial small subunit ribosomal RNA
Source: RNAcentral
UACAGAGGGUGCGAGCGUUAUUCGGAAUUACUGGGCGUAAAGCGCACGUAGGCGGCUUUGCAAGUCGGGUGUGAAAUCCCCGGGCUCAACCUGGGAACUGCAUCCGAGACUGCAUUGCUAGAGUAUGGGAGAGGGAAGCGGAAUUUCUGGUGUAGCAGUGAAAUGCGUAGAGAUCGGAAGGAACAUCAGUGGCGAAGGCGGCUACCUGGACUGACACUGACACUGAGGCGCGAAAGCGUGGGUAGCAAACAGG